RNAcentral lists this ribosomal RNA (537 nucleotides) under Lodderomyces parapsilosis. Its description in RNAcentral is "eukaryotic LSU rRNA". The stretch from base 207 to 360 matches the Rfam family "5.8S ribosomal RNA". Lineage: Eukaryota; Fungi; Ascomycota; Pichiomycetes; Serinales; Debaryomycetaceae. The record is from RNAcentral.
UUGAAGUAUAAAAUCGUAACAAGGUUUCCGUAGGUGAACCUGCGGAAGGAUCAUUACAGAAUGAAAAGUGCUUAACUGCAUUUUUUCUUACACAUGUGUUUUUCUUUUUUUGAAAACUUUGCUUUGGUAGGCCUUCUAUAUGGGGCCUGCCAGAGAUUAAACUCAACCAAAUUUUAUUUAAUGUCAACCGAUUAUUUAAUAGUCAAAACUUUCAACAACGGAUCUCUUGGUUCUCGCAUCGAUGAAGAACGCAGCGAAAUGCGAUAAGUAAUAUGAAUUGCAGAUAUUCGUGAAUCAUCGAAUCUUUGAACGCACAUUGCGCCCUUUGGUAUUCCAAAGGGCAUGCCUGUUUGAGCGUCAUUUCUCCCUCAAACCCUCGGGUUUGGUGUUGAGCGAUACGCUGGGUUUGCUUGAAAGAAAGGCGGAGUAUAAACUAAUGGAUAGGUUUUUUCCACUCAUUGGUACAAACUCCAAAACUUCUUCCAAAUUCGACCUCAAAUCAGGUAGGACUACCCGCUGAACUUAAGCAUAUCAUAA